CAUAGGAGAAUGACAAAUCAGAUUUUUUCUCCUAAUUUUUAACUUUUUCUUACUGAAUAAAUUCAAAUCUAAUUAAAAAAUGCUAAAAAUCAGGAGGAAAAAUAUGAUUUGUCAUUCUCCUAUU
Molecule: non-coding RNA, 124 nt
Organism: Gossypium raimondii (Peruvian cotton)
Lineage: Eukaryota; Viridiplantae; Streptophyta; Magnoliopsida; Malvales; Malvaceae
Source: Rfam